Molecule: ribosomal RNA, 157 nt
Filed under: uncultured bacterium
Lineage: Bacteria
Description: partial 16S ribosomal RNA
Rfam family: Bacterial small subunit ribosomal RNA
Source: RNAcentral
UGAGGAAUAUUGGUCAAUGGGCGGGAGCCUGAACCAGCCAAGUCGCGUGAGGGAAGACGGUCCUACGGAUUGUAAACCUCUUUUGUCGGGGAGCAAUAAAGCGUACGCGUACGCAGAUGCGAGUACCCGAAGAAAAAGCAUCGGCUAACUCCGUGCC